GCCCUGACCGAUUCGCUCGACGCUAUUUCCGUCUUCGAGGCUGCGGCCGUCGAUGGCCGCGCGUGUGUACGGAUGGUCUCGUUAUACGCAUUGGUGAGGGUACCCCUUGUUGAUACCCUCGACAAGUUGCUCUGCCAUGACUAGUUCUUAAAAUUGAAAUCUCUCUCAAGUUUAGGCAUAACUAUUAUAAUUUAAACCUGCUUUAAACCUGAAUUUGUGGGAAGAGUACUUGAUCUAAAGUCUAAGUUGUUAACGGAUAUGAUAUGGGAAGGUUGAGCUGCUGUUUAUCUAUUCCUAGAGAUGCUAGAAUUCUGGAGAAUUUUAUCUUUGAAAACCUUUAAAAUAACACAUGAUGAGUUCCUGUAUGAUGAGAGUUUAAAUUCCUACCACAGCCAUAUAUACAUGCUUGCUAGACUUUGAGCCACACAUUUACUUUUUACUACUUAUGAGCAUUGAGUGUGGUCAAGCUGUGUAGACCCUUAGGAGCUUGUCAUGUGGUUAAAAUCAAGAUUCACUUGCAUGUUCACUCGUAUAUGCUGCUUCUACUUUGGAAGUACGCAUCCACAUACAUUCACUCAUUUCCAUCUCCAGAUUCACCCAAAAUUAUUCUACUCCUGAUCCGGGAGAGAAUAGCCAAAAACAUUUUCCUAUCCCUGUUAUUCCCUGUGAAAUAAAUGCUCCAGUUAUUUUGGUUACUACCACUUGCUACAUUAUUUCAGGAGAUGAGUGCUCUAGUAAAAAAAGAAAGAGAAAAAAAUAAUACUAGGAAAUAAAAAGUGGCAAGUGCCCGGAACCUAGAGAAAAAAAUAAUACGAGGAAGUAAAAAGGGGCAAGUGCCCGGAACCUCGAAGAAAAGAAAAAGUGAGACGAGAGGUAAAAAUGGACAAGUGUCCGACAAUAGAAUUAGGGUUACAAGAUACCCACCUGAGAGGAAAGAAAAAGAAAAUAUAGAGCAUCUCAUUCUCCCCAAAAAGCUUCAAAAAUAGAAUUAGAAUUUCACCAUUGUUAUCACCAUCAUCACCAUACACCAUUCAUUCGCCACACAUGCACAUCUUGAUUUGACUUAUUGACUUGUUUCUCUGGAUCCAUGGUUUGACUAUGCAAUAACUGUCUUGUAAGUAUGUAUUAGCUGUCUCCCACCUAUGAGCUCCAGAUAUCAAAACCUUAUUAGAGUAAGGUGAGAGAGAAGGCAAUAUCACUAUGCAUUAUACCAAAAUUACCACAUACUUUGAGAGAAGGCAUAUACCAUUACCUCCUUGGUAAGGAUCCAGAAAUACCACAAAAGAGAGAUUUCAGAGAAUAAUAUAAGGAAUCUCUGAGUUUUAUUUGAAAAUCUACAAAAACUACAGAGCUAUAGCUAAUCAAAGAAUAAGAGACAUGGCACUUGACUUGAUCGUUCUAUCUUUUAACUGCUCAAGACACAAGUGACGGUUACAAGCCCCAUGGUGAAGGGUAAAAUGAGUAAGUUUUAAGUCUUAACAGUUUAUUCUAACUCAAAGAUGAGAUCUUGCUUGAAUGCGUGUGUACUUUUAAGGCAUGAAACCACUGCAGAAACUCUUGAGUUCAUCCUUGCUCAGGGACGAGCAAGAGGUAAGCUUGGGGGAGUUGUUGACGGUCCUUAAGUACCAAAUAUAAUCAUCAAAUAAAUAAAGAAAAGGAUCCAAAUGUAACCAACACCUAGACUUAGGGUUUUAUCUAACAGAAUUCCACGAGUUUUGGUGUUUGUCUAUUUCUACAGGGGGUUAUCAGGAAAUAAGGAAGAAAGGCCCACACGUCGGGAUUACAUAGAGACAUCAACGCACCACGCAAUUUUCUACCAUCUAGAAGACUCCAGAAGCCACGGGAAGAAAGCAGAGGCCGAAAGGGGCCAGGCCUAGGGCGCCCGCCCUGUCCUGGACUCCGUUCGGGACUCUCUUCGCACACGAUGUUCCACCGACCUAAAGGAUCAAGGAUAAUAUAGUACCACAUCGCCUACCGACCCAAAAACGCAUAGAGGAGGAGGACUAUAUAAGGAGACCCCCCUGGCCCCUGGAGAAGACAAGAAGUUUUUCAUAGAGUUGAGAGGAGCCCUCGAAGCAAUACCUCUCCUCUAAAUAAAAUUUAUAUUAGGCUUAGCAUCCAAUGUGAGUAGAAUUAGAUCUUCUAGUUUCUAUUAGAUUGAGAGAGAUAGAGUGGAGGUGUAGAUCGGAGGAAGGCCGGCCUGUCGGUGUCUACUCUGAGGUUGUACCUGCGGGAUCAAGUCUUCUAACCCGAGGCUUGCUCCUAAGAUUCUUCAAUAAUUCGACUUCUAAUUCUAGUAAGUUCUUGUUUUAUUGUUCUUUGGUUUAUGAGUUUACUUUAAUCCUCUUCCGGUAGAGUAUUAGAGUAAUCAUUGCUAGCGUAAAC
Molecule: long non-coding RNA, 2385 nt
Filed under: Sorghum bicolor (sorghum)
Lineage: Eukaryota; Viridiplantae; Streptophyta; Magnoliopsida; Poales; Poaceae
Description: long non-coding RNA (SBIC_LNC006704)
Source: RNAcentral